GACAGAGGGUGCAAACGUUGUUCGGAAUUACUGGGCGUGAAGCGCGUGUAGGCGGCCCGGAAAGUCGGAUGUGAAAGCCCUGGGCUUAACCCAGGAAGUGCAUUCGAAACUCCCGGGCUUGAGUUCUGGAGAGGAAGGCGGAAUUCUCGGUGUAGAGGUGAAAUUCGUAGAUAUCGAGAGGAACACCGGUGGCGAAGGCGGCCCUCUGGACAGUGACUGACGCUGAGACGCGAAAGCGUGGGGAGCAAACAGG
This 253-nucleotide ribosomal RNA is filed under the name uncultured bacterium. RNAcentral describes it as "partial 16S ribosomal RNA". It matches the Rfam family "Bacterial small subunit ribosomal RNA", at positions 524 to 776 of the family's 1533-position model. The record is from RNAcentral.